AUGCCUGCUACAGGGGAUUCUUUCCUCUGCCGUACAACAUCUCAGAGCGUCUUCAACAUUGCAACGACACUCUUCUUCAUUCGAAAUCAUCGUCACCGCCGACAUUACGUCGCCAGUACCCGUUUACUCCACUUUGUUUCCAACUUCACGAAUUUGGUUCGCUGCAACAAUAAACUCGAGCUAAGGACAGAAAUUGUAGAAGAAUCAAAGAAUUUUACCUACCAGAGAAUCGUCUGGUGCGUCUUCAAAAGGGACGUGGAUCGAAGAUAA
Vicia faba (fava bean) is the source of this 270-nucleotide non-coding RNA. The record is from the annotation of a GenBank genome assembly. NCBI's taxonomy places the organism in Eukaryota, Viridiplantae, Streptophyta, Magnoliopsida, Fabales, Fabaceae.